RNAcentral lists this ribosomal RNA (433 nucleotides) under uncultured bacterium. Its description in RNAcentral is "partial 16S ribosomal RNA". It matches the Rfam family "Bacterial small subunit ribosomal RNA", at positions 29 to 507 of the family's 1533-position model. The record is from RNAcentral.
AACGAACGCUGGCGGCAUGCCUAACACAUGCAAGUCGAACGAGACCUUCGGGUCUAGUGGCGCACGGGUGCGUAACGCGUGGGAACCUGCCCUUAGGUUCGGAAUAACUCCCCGAAAGGGGUGCUAAUACGGGAUAAUGUCUUCGGACCAAAGAUUUAUCGCCUUUGGAUGGGCCCGCGUUGGAUUAGCUAGUUGGUAGGGUAAAAGCCUACCAAGGCGACGAUCCAUAGCUGGUCUGAGAGGAUGAUCAGCCACACUGGGACUGAGACACGGCCCAGACUCAUACGGGAGGCAGCAGUGGGGAAUAUUGGAGAAUGGACGAAAGCCUGAUCAAGCAAUGGCGCGUGAGUGAUGAAGGUCUUAGGGUUGUAAAGCUCUUUUACCCGGGAUGAUAAUGACAGUACCGGGAGAAUAAGCUCCGGCUAGCUCCGUG